Long non-coding RNA from Oncorhynchus kisutch (coho salmon), 449 nucleotides. RefSeq lists it as uncharacterized. The record is from RefSeq and is a predicted model, not a curated record. NCBI's taxonomy places the organism in Eukaryota, Metazoa, Chordata, Actinopteri, Salmoniformes, Salmonidae. The transcript is spliced from 3 exons.
UCCCUCUCAGCCCUAGCCAGCCUCAGUGUGUCUUUAUUGCCUACUCCAACGUGACCUGCUACUGGACACCUGGACAAGGCUCUCCCUCAGACACGCGCUUCACACUGCAGGUCAACAUAACCGGAUGCGAUGACCCUGUGAUCCAUCAGUCCCAACUGUGUCAGACUGUUACCCAGACCCACUGCUCUGUUAACGUGACCUAUCUGAGCCGCUGCUACUGCAUCAGGGUCCUGGCCGACAGCCCUUACACAACAGCCAGCUCACCCAGCCUCUGCCUCAAUGCCAUAGACGCAGUGAAGCUUCCCACCCCUGUCCUCUCCAAUGUGUCAGCAGUGAGAGGCAAACCCAGAUGCCUGAAGCUGCAGUGGACUACCAAUACCAGCUUCCCGGUGACCAGAAAACAUAUCUCCAAUGGUGCUCUGGUCUUCCAGGUGCAGUACAGCACAGAG